GGGCAAAUAGCGCCCAUAAUGCCGGUUUUUGGCCACUCAGCCGACCGAUAACUCUUUUAGAAUCAUCAACUGGCUACCUUUCGACCACCUUCACACGGUGGAAGUCGUAGGUUCGAAUCCUGCUGUGCCCACCA
This 134-nucleotide transfer RNA is filed under the name Edaphobacter sp. 12200R-103. RNAcentral describes it as "tRNA-Ser". It matches the Rfam family "tRNA". From Rfam's summary of the family: Transfer RNA (tRNA) molecules are approximately 80 nucleotides in length. Their secondary structure includes four short double-helical elements and three loops (D, anti-codon, and T loops). RNAcentral also lists the same sequence under 1 other name. The record is from RNAcentral. Lineage: Bacteria; Pseudomonadati; Acidobacteriota; Terriglobia; Terriglobales; Acidobacteriaceae.